UUCCAAAGUGUUGAGUUCAGUUCAGGGCAACUUCCCUGGUCUGAUAAUUAAACUUUGGGACAUUGAAAUGGGCUGUGGGUGACAACUGGAUAAAAAGUACUCCAAGUUCAUCUCUGAGCAUACGGAA
Small nucleolar RNA from Cavia aperea (Brazilian guinea pig), 127 nucleotides. NCBI's taxonomy places the organism in Eukaryota, Metazoa, Chordata, Mammalia, Rodentia, Caviidae. The record is from Ensembl.